CGGAGGGGCGUAGCGUUGUUCGGAAUUACUGGGCGUAAAGCGCACGUAGGCGGACCAUCAAGUUGGGGUGGAAAUCCCGGGGCUCAACCCGGAACUGCCUCCAAACUGCUGGUCUGGAGGUCGAGAGAGGCGAGUGGAAUUCCGAGUGUAGAGGUGAAAUUCGUAGAUAUUCGGAGGAACACCAGUGGCGAAGGCGGCUCGCUGGCUCGAUACUGACGCUGAGGUGCGAAAGCGUGGGGAGCAAACAGGAUU
Molecule: ribosomal RNA, 252 nt
Filed under: uncultured bacterium
Lineage: Bacteria
Description: partial 16S ribosomal RNA
Rfam family: Bacterial small subunit ribosomal RNA
Source: RNAcentral